UACGUAGGUGGCAAGCGUUGUCCGGAUUUACUGGGCGUAAAGAGCGCGCAGGCGGUCGUUCAAGUCGCGUGUGAAAGCCCCCGGCUCAACUGGGGAGGGUCACGCGAUACUGAUCGACUCGAAGGCAGGAGAGGGUAGUGGAAUUCCCGGUGUAGUGGUGAAAUGCGUAGAUAUCGGGAGGAACACCAGUGGCGAAGGCGACUACCUGGCCUGUUCUUGACGCUGAGGCGCGAAAACUAGGGGAGCAAACGGG
This 253-nucleotide ribosomal RNA is filed under the name uncultured bacterium. RNAcentral describes it as "partial 16S ribosomal RNA". It matches the Rfam family "Bacterial small subunit ribosomal RNA", at positions 524 to 776 of the family's 1533-position model. The record is from RNAcentral.